AAAUCCGCUGUCAAAAUGACUAAAACACUGACAUAUUUUGUUUUGGUCGUGUUUAUCACAAGCGUGGAAAGACUGGGAACGAUACUGUCGACUUAGGCUUCAAAUUUCCGGGCGAAGCAUUGGUCGACAGCUGCUUUCGUUUCUUACUCACCCACCGUUGACGAUAUCGUAAAAAGAACAAGGAUGUAAUAAAAGUGCCGAAAAUAAUUCCAGAAAUCAAGGUUACCAAUAUAAUGUACCAUUUCGUUUUUGUCUCUGUUAUUUUACAUGUUUUACAGUUAUCAAAGGUUCUUGAAGUAGAAGUUAAGUUACCUAAAAGAAAAAGAAGCUUUUUAGAAUGACUAUAAAGCCAGUUGAGAAGAGGAUGACUAUAAUGUAAAGAGUAUAAUAUGCAUAAACAUAGCCUCAACGUUUAAAUAGGACGAAAAAUAGGGAGAAUUUAAAUGAGGAGGAAUAAAAAGUUUAGAAUAAACUGCACGUGUCCAGUCAACCAUUAACUCGUGGGAGUACCUAGAAAAUUAUAACUUCUUUUCUUAAAGAUACCUUUGAGAUUGUUGUGAAUAGAAGUUGACGUUGAAGUAAAAAAUGGCCUUGAUCGACUGAUGGAGCUAGAUAACUCCAAUACUACACAAAAAAAACACGAAUCAUUAGCUUCGUCUUACUUUAUACUUAAUUUAAUUUCUGUUAAGAAAUAAAAGAUGUUUACUGUGUUUGCACAGGCUUAUGCAAAA
This is a long non-coding RNA of Xenia sp. Carnegie-2017, 731 nucleotides long. RefSeq lists it as uncharacterized. The record is from RefSeq and is a predicted model, not a curated record. Lineage: Eukaryota; Metazoa; Cnidaria; Anthozoa; Malacalcyonacea; Xeniidae. The transcript has 2 exons.